This 174-nucleotide ribosomal RNA is filed under the name uncultured bacterium. RNAcentral describes it as "partial 16S ribosomal RNA". It matches the Rfam family "Bacterial small subunit ribosomal RNA", at positions 338 to 524 of the family's 1533-position model. The record is from RNAcentral.
CCUACGGGAGGCAGCAGUGGGGAAUAUUGCGCAAUGGGCGGAAGCCUGACGCAGCAACGCCGCGUGGGGGAUGAAGGCCUUCGGGUUGUAAACCUCUUUCAGCAGGGACGAAGCGGGAGUGACGGUACCUGCAGAAGAAGCGCCGGCUAACUACGUGCCAGCAGCCGCGGUAAU